UAAGUUACCAGUGUUCGUGAACCCACCAAAGUAAAAGAAAAAAAAGCUUUUCCGCAGUCAUCUUUCCCCCAAGUUUUCCCCACGCCGGCGGUCAGAACCAGAGGAGCCCUCCUCGGGCCGGCGCCUCCCCCGCCGCCGCCAUCAAGGCCCGGAAGCAAUCGCCCGCUCAGCCGAUUUACUGGUCCAGGUCACCUCCGCCGCUGUCACGGCGGGCAGGGCUCCCGGCCAGUCUCCGUCAUGGCCGCCGCCACCUCCGACGCUCCCCGGCCACAGGUUGGGUCGAAAGGUGCUCGAUGAUUCGCUUCAUAGGACUACUGCUGCUCGGAUUGAUUUCGUUGUUACACAGGUCUUUUGCUAAUCCCGUUUGUCCAGAUUGUUCUUUGCUGCGACUUGCAUAUGCAAAACUCAUACAGUGCUAAUAUGGAAUAUCAGGCUUUCACGUUUCAUAGUACUUCUUAUUUCUUCUUCUCAACACAACUUCUCUCAUCCGAGAAAAAAUCACGGAUGAUUGGUUCCCAUAUUAUUUUCUGUUUUGUGUGUGUUUAUUGUACAUUUGAUUAUAUCCAUUUCUAAUAGGGAUAAUAUGUUGAUGCUAGAGCUUAAACUCUAAAAUCGGAAAAGGGCGGUGUGUUCAGGAUGUGGUUGAGAGAAUAGUAGUUGGCAGAUACUGGAUUACCUGACCAGAAAGAGUAUCAUGGAAUUGGAUACGGACUUCCCUCAGGUUUUUGCAAUUUAGAUUAGCAAAUCACUUUUACUAUGUACGAAACUGAUCUGUUUCUUCUCAUUUAGGAUAGACGCAGUAAAAAAGAUGUCGUCAUUAUUCUUAUUUUCCUUUGUUACUGAAGAUUAUUCCGUACACAGACACACACACACACACGCAACUGUGAAGGUAUAUGUGUUUUUUGUUUUUGGACAAGUCAUAUACAUGUUUGACUGGUAAUCAUGAUGCCUUGCUUCCUUUCUUUGCUGAAAUUUUACAACAAUGCCUCUACUAACCUCAUUUCAAUUGAUGAGUACAGACCUUCUGUUUGUUUUUGUGUGUGUUAAAUGGCAUAGGAAUUUCUCCCCUGGAGCUUUCCAGUUCAGAGAACUGAAUUUGACACUCCAAAUCAUAAGACAACAUUCAACAUUACUACGCAAGGGAACUUCAGAAAAUAUUUUCCUGUCCCUGGUAGAAACAGAACUGAAGAUUACACCCUUCAGGUUAGGAAUGGCUGACCGAGAGCAGUGUGCACAUCUCUGAGGCCAAACGAGGUGUUGGAGUCGAGGAUUUGACACAAUUUGGAUCGAAUUACUGCUAUCUAUCCAACCGAUCUUUCUCUCCUCGGCUCUUGGUAGUUCGUCCCUGAGAUUGGUUUUCUAUGCCUAAGAAAGUGGAAUGGAGGGAGUAAUGCCUUGAGGUCUUAUUUAUUAUAAUUAUAGUCAAUGUAGUUCCAUUUUCAUAUUGUAGAGAUGAUAUUCGUUGUGUUACCUUGGGCCUGUAGGGUAUGUCAACCGGCUUUACCUAUGGAACACUUAGUUUAUUCCCAGUACUUUAUCAGCAAUCAUUUUUGUUAAAAGUAACUGUAUGCCACCACAGUGGCAAGAGUUCAUUCUCUUAAUAGGAUACUCUUGCAUUGCUA
Triticum urartu is the source of this 1622-nucleotide RNA transcript. RefSeq lists it as uncharacterized. Lineage: Eukaryota; Viridiplantae; Streptophyta; Magnoliopsida; Poales; Poaceae. The record is from RefSeq and is a predicted model, not a curated record.